Molecule: ribosomal RNA, 481 nt
Filed under: uncultured bacterium
Lineage: Bacteria
Description: SSU rRNA
Rfam family: Bacterial small subunit ribosomal RNA
Source: RNAcentral
AGGACGAACGCUGGCGGCGUGCCUAACACAUGCAAGUCGAACGAGGCUUAUCCGGUAGCAAUACCGGAGACUGCCUAGUGGCGAACGGGUGAGUAGCACGUGAGCAACCUGCCCCGAAGACUGGGAUAACACCGGGAAACCGGUGCUAAUACCAGAUGCCCCCACCGGAUCGCAUGAUCUGGUGAGGAAAUGGAUUCCGCUUCGGGAGGGGCUCGCGGCCUAUCAGCUAGUUGGUGAGGUAACGGCUCACCAAGGCUUCGACGGGUAGCUGGUCUGAGAGGACGAUCAGCCACACUGGGACUGAGACACGGCCCAGACUCCUACGGGAGGCAGCAGUGGGGAAUCUUGCACAAUGGGCGAAAGCCUGAUGCAGCAACGCCGCGUGAGGGACGAAGGCUUUCUGAGUUGUAAACCUCUUUCAGCAGGGACGAUUGUGACGGUACCUGCAGAAGAAGCCCGGCCAACUACGCGCCAGCAGCCG